Molecule: long non-coding RNA, 32035 nt
Filed under: Zea mays
Lineage: Eukaryota; Viridiplantae; Streptophyta; Magnoliopsida; Poales; Poaceae
Description: long non-coding RNA (ZMAY_LNC003176)
Source: RNAcentral
CUUCUAUCACAAUAACCAGUUAGAUGGAACCAACCACUGGAUCUACAGCACUGGAGCAAACUCCUCUUCAGGAACCACUUCUUGAAUUUCAACUUCCUUUUUUGGGAGCUCUACACGAAAUGAUAUGAAUAUGAAUGCUUAUGCUUUUGUAAUUUGCAACGAAGAUAGCAAAACAACUCUCUAGACUAUACCAAAAUCCAUGGUCUUUUAUGUAAACUUGUUUCUUCACCAACUAAUUCCUUUCAUCCACUAACCGCACCACUAUGAUUCACACGCACAUCACAAAGCCCAAGCUGAUGGUGUGAACCACAAGCCAGCUAUAAACAGUCGCGAACAAUCUUUCCUGGGACAUAAAACUAUGCUACCGAUUAAUCCAAACACACACGCAACCAUGCCAGUAGAGAUCAAACAACCAGUUCAAUGAGUUUCACCCGUAAGUAUAGAUACUAGAACACUACACAGAAACCAUGGAAUCGUACCGUGUUAUCCCAACUACGGGAGGGCAGGAACAACCCCGGGCAUGGUCACCACAGCCAGUGGCAAGUAUGUUUCCAACAAAACCAAGGGUACCAGAUGGCUGAGAGGUGUUAGGGGUGACGUGGGUGUAGAUGAGUAGCAAGGCACAUAGGGGAAACCAGGAAAUCGUCGAGAGCACAAGCAAUUCAGUUUGGGCUCCAAACUAGCAUAACAAGAGGUGGCUUGAUGGAGGUCGGGCUGGGGCUAUUUCAGAGGGGAAAUGAGAAUUAACAAUCCCCAACACACACCUGCAUGUCUACCACGCAAGAUGGAAGCACAGGGGAAAAGUCUAGCACACCUUUACUGCAUGUAUGACACCUCAUCAACAGUGAAGCAGUUGAAUCAUCCAAGAGAUAGGCUUUACACCCUUCCUGCAUCUAUCCUUGGGGUGGUGAAUUGAUGAGGACAUCACUUCUAUACAUACAAUGAAUGCACGACAGCUAAAUCUCCAGGUACGUUCUACCCUAGUCAAUUGUGUUUCAGAGCUUACGCUUGGGGCCAUGGAUGUUUUGAUGAUUAGGAACCUUGGAGAGGACCAGAAAGGACUUGGGAAAGGCCUAGAGGAGGAGGAGCAAGGGCGCCACAAUAGGAAGAAGAUCAAGUCCGACUCGGCUGCGACUCCAUCUCGGGUUCCAGGACCAGUCUGCACUAAAAUGGACGCCCAAGAUGCAUCUGGACUCCGAUUGCAACAGACUUGAUAUGGUUGGAAAGAUAAGGAGAUUAUCUAACCAACCCAACUGGUUCCACCCUAAAAUUCAUCCGGAAUCAACAGGAAUCGUCGAAACAAGUCAGCGUUCAGAUUCUGUUUUGGUGCUGCGACACCGUCUGUUGGGCCGUUGGGCCGUGUAUCGCGUCGGAGCCCAUUAGGGGUGAGUCCAGGGGUCAUGCACGCCCUAAUACUCUAUUUAUUCAGCAGCUGCCGCCAUAUUAGUAGGGUUGGGUUUUGCUUAAGUUUAGAUCUGUCAAGAACAGUCGUCGUAGAUCGGUUUGUGAGACCCCAACUUGUGAGCUUAAUUUUUCAUCCGCAAUAUUCUAGAUUGUGUUCUUUCUUGUUCUUGCUUGUGUCUUUGAUUCCCAAGCAGGAAUUAGCCCUCGUGGCGAGGUCAAUCGCGCAGUGCACGGUUGAUAACCAGAGGAGAAGUGGUGCUGCGAUUACGGGGUUCUAGUCGUGUUGAUUGGAAGCCGGAUCGUUUGUGUGACAUCUCCACCAAAUCGAUAGUUACCUUCACCUGACGGAAGAUCGGGCACCCCUGUUCCUAUCAAGUGGUAUUCAAAGACUCAGGUAUUACCGUCAGGCUUACCCUAGUUUAGUUUAUGUUUUUUUAAUCCUAUAACUCUAGAUAAUUGCCAUACAAAAAAAAAUUCGCUGUCCUAUAACCCUUGUUUAGCCUUUGCAAUUUCGUUUUCAGUUUGGCUUUGUUCAGUUCGUGUCCGUGGUCGAGUCGAGUUGCUGGUUUAGGGUGUAUCUUCGUCGUAGAUCAACUGCCCUCGCUAGCCACUAUCCCAUCCACCACUACCCAGAUCACACGUCGAUCCACCCAUUAAUCGACUUGCCCUCGCUAGCCGCCGCCGUGCCAGCCCUAGAUAGAUUGCAGAUACGCCGCUAUCCCAUCCACCAUUACCCAGAUCACAAGUCGAUCCACCCCAUUAAUCGACUUGCUCUAACCGUUGUGAUUGCAGAUAGGGAAUUUUUUGCCCUAACCACCGCUUUCUAGUCGUGCCUCCAAAAACAUAACUUGAGGUACCUUCCUUAAACCGGGCAUAACUUUUCGCUCGGGUGUCCAAAAAAUCUGAAAUUUUUACAGGAGCUUGUUGACACCAUUCUGAGGCCAGCCAAACUCGCCUACGGCCUGUUUGGUUUUGAUAAAAUUGUCAAAAAAAUUCAGGAAAAUAAAGAAAAAACUUUGUCAAAGCUCUUGCACGCUUUUCAGAGAACUUGCUCAUUUUCUGUAGACCACAUCUGAUCUCUGAUUUAGGUGAAACUUGGUGUAGCUCCUAUUUUGUUGCUUCUUGUGCUGACAAAAAUAUCAAAAAAUCAUACAAAAAAGAAAAGCAAAAUUACCAUUGAAUCCUACUAGUGCCUUUUUGGCAUCGCGAGUACAACAUUUACGGUACUGCCAUUCUGCUAUUUCCAUUGUUCUUUGUUCCAACUUGUUGUGAUAUGCCUCGGAUACAUCUCUUAGCCAGCAAUUGUGACUUGUGCUUUGGAUAUUUAUUGAACUUCGCUCAUCUGCACUCGAUUUUGUUUCACAUUCACAUACAUAUUGUGCUUGUCCUAUAGCUCCACAUACUAUAUCUUCUGAUCAAUACAGAUUUGACCUUGCAAUCGCGGUUUCACUAUCUCUUGGUAAGUAUCACGAACCAACCUCCGAUUGUACCAUCCUUUGCUUGUAUUUCGUCAAACACUUGUAAGAGCUUGGUAAGAUACAUUAAAGUGUGUUCCUGUGUUAUACCUGAGAGGAGCGUGUAGUGAAAUUAUUAGGGAUAACCGUCACCGUUUGUUUCCUGUUUUUGUGUUUUGAUGGUAGGCGACGAAGAAGAAGCAAGGAUCCCUACAGACUUCGAUGAAUGUGUUAGCCGCCAAGAUCUUGAGGCAAAAAACAAUCUCCUGAAGGAGCAAAUGGAGGAGACGGUCCACAAGUCAGUGCAUGAUGCCUUCAUUGACAUGAACCUUGGCAAGACUUACGAGAGGUUGGAUCGACGAUUGUCCCAGAUCGUCGACAGACUUGCUGUGUUGGAGACGCAACAACAAGCACCACCACCACCACCUCCUCGUCCACGACUUCCCGAUGAUGCGGUGUUUGAUGAAGAAGGUAAUUAUGAUUAAGCGGCCACCAGAGAUUUGCGCCUACGUCGCCGCCUUCAUCAAAACAUAGAAGGUAUGCCACACCAACACCGCCAGCAAGGUAAUAACAAUUACCAUCUUUUUCGGGUCAUUAUGAUGCUGAGGGAUAUCUUGAUUGGGAGAUGACGAUAGAACAGAAAUUUGCUGCCCACCUUGUACCCGAACAACAUCAAGUUAGACAAGCCACUAGUGAAUUUAAAGAUUUUGCUAUUGUCUGGUGGACUGGUCUAGUUGGGGAUGGUAGAGCACCUACGACUUGGGAAGAUCUUAAGGUAGCUAUGCGCGGUAGAUUUGUUCCCCCAUCUUAUCAUAGAGAAUUGCGUAAGAAAUUGAUGCGUUUAGAGCAAGGGGAUAAAUCUGUUCAAGAUUAUUAUGCUGAGCUUCAGAAGGGAUUGCAGCGUUGUGGGAUAGUAGAGGGACAUGAGGACGCUCUUUGUCGUUUUUAUUCAGGUUUGCGGCGUGACAUUCAGGACAUUGUGGAUUACAAAGAAUUUAACAUUGUCAACAAGUUGUUCCAGUUUGCUAUGCUUGCAGAGAAGGAAUUGCAGGGACGCCAACAUCGACCUAGGGCUACUUUUGGCGCCUCCUCUGCACCACGGAUGCACACACCUGCCUCAAGUCAUACUCCCUCGACACCUGCUGCACACGUUGGUAACCUUCCUUUGUAGGUACCCACCAAGAAACAGAAUUCACCAGCACCUGCAACACCUUCCAGUGGUCGUUCUUCGGGUAUUGUUUGCCACCGCUGUCAUGGAAUUGGUCACGUGAAGAAGGAUUGCCCGAGUCAGCGAACAUACAUUGCUACGGAUGAUGGCUACAUUAGUGCUUCCGACGGUGAGGGUGAUGAUGAUGACUCCAGUGAUGUUGCUGCUAAUGAUGAUGUCAUGCUUGGUGCUGAUGCUACGGUGAACCUUCGAAGCAUCAUGGUGCAGCGUGUUCUUAGUUCUCAGCCUGAAUCAUAAGAGAAGCAGCAACGCAAUAAUUUGUUCUAGACUUUCUUCUCCAUCGAGAAUCGGCGUGCACGUGUUAUUAUUGAUGGUGGAAGCUGCAAUAAUUUGGUGAGUUCAGAUUUGGUCAAGAAGCUUGGCUUGACCACACGUCCACGGCCACAUCCAUACCACAUUCAGUGGAUCAAUGAUUCAGGCAAGGUUAAGGUAACACACAUGGUACGAGUGCAUUUCUCCAUUGGUAUGUAUUCUGAUUAUGCGGAUUGUGAUGUAGUACCUAUGGAAGCUUGUUCUCUUUUGUUGGGUAGACCUUGGGAAUAUGAUACUGAUGCAUGUCACCAUGGUAGGAGUAAUACAUACACUUUUAGGCAUAAAGAUAAAAACAUUACUUUGCUACCUUUGACUCUUACUGAAAUUGUACAAGCUGAUAAAGAUAGAGCUGCAAGUACCCAUAAGGAACCAACUAAUGAGACAGAAAUUCAGCAACAAAUUAAAUUGAAAUCUCCUAUCAUGCUUGCUACUAAAUCUUAUCUUCUUGAAACUCAUGCUACUGAUGCUUGUUGCUAUGCCUUGGUUUGCAAAGAUGCUUUUCUUUUCUAUUGAUGAUAUUGCUAGCAUUUUGUCUACAUUUGUGACUAAUCUUUUGUAGCAGUUCCGAGAUGUUUUUCCCUCUGAGUUACCUCCAGAACUUCCUCCCAUUCGUGGGAUUGAGCACCAGAUUGAUUUGAUUCCUGGAGCGAGCUUGCCCAACCGUGCUGCUGGACCAUUUAAAAUUUUCGAGAAGAUUAAUGACAAUGCAUAUAAACUUGAGUUGCCCCCAGAGUUUGGGAUUAGUCCCACCUUUAAUAUCAGAUUUAAAUCCAUAUUUGGGAAAAGAAGAUGAGCUUGAGUCGAGGGCGACUCCACUUCAAGAGGGGGAGGAUGAUGAGGACAUGGAUGUGUUUCCCUCUGAGAUACCCCCUGGAUUACCACCUGAGUUGCCUCUAGAUUUUCGGGUUAGUCCCACCUUUAACAUUUCAGAUUUGAAGCCAUAUAUGGGUGACGAAGAUGAGAUCGAGUCGAGGACGACUCCAAUUCAAGAGGAGGAGGAGGAUGAGGACAUCACUUCUAUACAUACAAUGAAUGCACGACAGCUAAAUCUCCAGGUAUGUUCUACCCUAGUCAAUUGUGUUUCAGAGCUUACGCUUGGGGCCAUGGAUGUUUUGAUGUUUAGGAACCUUGGAGAGGACCAGCAAGGACUUGGGAAAGGCCUAGGUGUUGAGGAGGAGCAGCAAGGGCGCCACAACAGGAAGGAGAUCAAGUCCGACUCGGCUGCGACUCCAUCUCGGGUUCCAGGACUAGUCUGCACUAAAAUGGACGCCCAAGAUGCAUCCAGACUCCGAUUGCAACGGACUUGAUAUGGUUGGAAAGAUAAGGAGAUCAUCUAACCAACCCAACUGGUUCCACCCUAAAAUUCGUCCAGAGUCAACGGGAAUCGUCGAAACAAGUCAGCGUUCAGAUUCUGUUUUGGUGCUGCGACACCGUCUGUUGGGCUGUGUAUCGCAUCGGAGCCCAUUAGGGGCGAGUCCAUGGGUCAUGCACGCUCUAAUACUCUAUUUAUUCAGCAGCUGCCGCCACAUUAGGGUUGAGUUUUGCUUAAGUUUAGAUCUGUCAAGAACAGUCGUCGUAGAUCGGUUUGUGAGACCCCAACUUGAGAGCUUAAUUUUUCAUCCGCAAUAUUCUAGAUUGUGUUUUUUCUUGUUCUUGCUUGGGUCUUCGAUUCUCAGGCAGGAAUUAGCCCUCGUGGUGAGGUCAAUCGCGCAGUGCAUGGUUGAUAACUAGAGGAGAAGUGGUGUUGCGAUUGCGGGGUUCUAGUCGUGUUGAUUGGAAGCCGGAUCGUUUGUGUGACAUCUCCACCAAAUCGAUAGUUACCUUCACCUGACGGAAAAUCGGGCACCCCCGUUCCUAUCAUGAUUUUUGACAAUAAACUUUCCAUUCUCAUAAGUCUCUUUUGGGCUGGCAUAUCCUAGAAUUCCCUAUAUCAAUUUGGUGGAUGGAGAUACUUUCAUCAGAUUAUUCUAAAACUGCUCCUGCUGUUCUACUCGACUGAAACCUCAAGUUCAGCUCCCCUUUUUAUUACCUCAAAUAACCAGCAAAGAAACUUUAAUGCCCCCAACACACAAAUAUCACUUGGUCCAAAUCUGCAGGUAGUAGAUAUCUGCAGAUAGUAGACAAAACAGAUAUGAUCUCUUUUGUCCACAUCUCCCAAACAAUCCAAAACUAGAUAUUUUGAAGCAGAGCUGAAGUCACUAGAUCCUUGGUUUUGCACCCCACCCGUAUCCCAACUCGAGCACACCAGUGGAGCACAGGAAAGGGAGAAAAAUCUUCCUCAAUUUCCUAUCCCAAACACUGAAUCAACUUCCCUGACAUCAGUGUCCCAUUGCACAGCUCCCAGUUUGGUCUACUUUAUCUCACAAACUUCCUCAACAACGGCCCCUUCUUCCCUAAUAAAAAGUACUCUAAAAUCAUUGCUCUUCCACUUUGGUACAAUACCCCUAGGCUGAAACCACAUAGAACAAAAAUUAUGGGACACAAAAGUAGAGCAAAAACACUAAGAGGUUCAGUUUCAGCUGAAGUGAAACAGUCCCCCAGACAGUCUGACAGAGGAAGUUUAGGUGCAUUUUACUCUAAAGUUUGUUAAGCACCAAGUCAGACCCACAUAACAAAACUUGUACUUCUUUACUUGGUCUCCAACCUUGUUACAUAGUUCUUAGCCUAACACCUGGUGGAAUGGUCACAAAAGUGUUCCCAAACUGACACCAAACAGUGCAACUUCAGUUUUCAGGCACUGAUUGAAAUUCAGUUUCUGUAACUGACAGUCCCAGUUUUAAGCAACUAUUACUCCACUUUUCAUGCAGUACAAAGUCAACCUUAUUUAAGAAAACUUGUUCACUAUUGUAUGGUCUUCCAUUUUACUAUAGAAACCAUAGUCCAUAACCCCAUAGAUUAGCCACAAGAAAGCUCCGAAGUUGAGCAAAACUCACUGAAAAUCAGUUUUAGAUAACUGAAUCAAGUCUGAAAUUAAAGUCUAACAGCAUGUUUUGGAACACCAUUUUCUCCCUGUUCUAAGCAUAUUCAAGGGCAUGAUCCUUACCAAGGGUUACUUCCCCAAUAUUUAUCUCCAAGUUUGCUACAGAAACUAGAGCCUAAAAGCACAUGGAUUGAUCACAGAACAAACAUAGUACGAUCGUGUACCUUGCUGGGUUGUCUUGGCCACGACGAGAUGGCCAAACUGACCGGCGUGGUCACUACUGGCAGGCCGAUGGUGUGCCAACACUUGUGCAGAUCAAACCUAAUGGCUGGAAAGAGACUAGCAUCAACUGGAGCACAAGGACUUCCACACUUUUACACUGGUCUUGGGCUAGAAUCCGAAGGCCAGGUGAAUCCUUCACUGAACCAGAUUUUAGAGCCACCAUAUAUAUAGAAAACGUCCCUAGACAUGGCCAACAUGCAGUGAAGCAGUGUGUCUCAGAGCGCCAGCAACAUAUGGACUUCAACACGUGGCUAACAUGCUCUCAUACCCCACCAGUACACAACCUUGGUUAGGACACUGAACCUGGUCCAUUUUCUCAACACAAAUAUCAGUUGGGGAUAUGCUUCAAUAUGUCCAAGAACAGGAUAUUCUUUCCAGCUGAGGGUGGGUUCUAGACCUCAGUUAUACCCUCCACACUUAUCUCAACUAUACACAUACAUGUAUCUCUUUUGUCCCCUACUGCAGACAGCAGACCAACCGAUCAAUUCUCCACUAUUUACUGCUCCAAAAUAGUCCAAAUUAGAUAUUUUUGGUGGAGAGUAGCCUCAAAGUAUCAGUCAUGCACUUCCCCCAUAAGACAGCUUAAUAUGUCAGUGGAGCACAGCAGAGAAAAAGAUUCUUCUUCAGUUACACCUCCACACACUGAAUCACUUCAUCAACCUGCUGCCCCAUUUAAUUCCUCCCAGUUCAAACCCUCUGAUCUUUCAAUUUUUCAUAGCAACAGACCAUGCUCCCUUCACAAAAGUUGUUCUCUAUACAUAGUUCUACCAACUUGGUAUAGAAAUCACAGGUUGAAAAUAUUUAGAGCAAGAGUUAUUGCAAUCCAAAGUUAAGCAAAACACUCAAAAUUCAGUUUUGGAUUUAUUAAACAGCACAAUACUGGGUCUGGCAGAGAGUUUUGUCACCCCUUUUUCUCUAGAUUACACACAGUAACAAGUCAACCCUUUGCAUAAAAGUUGUUCCCCUUCAUAUGGACUUUGACUUUUUUACAGAACUCGUAACCAAAAUCUCCAUAGAUUAAUUAUCAUAGAGCUCCAAACUGGACAACUUGCUGCCAUUCAGGGUUCAGAACUGAAUUAAAAUUCAGUUAUUAACCAACCUGACAAUCCAAUCUUUGAGGAACUAUUUCUGCACUUUUUGUAUGGGAUCAGGUCCACCACCCUAUAAGAAAGUUGUUCCACAUUAUAUGGUCUUCACUUAUUCUACAAACACCACAGCACAAAACCUUAUAGAAUAGCCACAAAUAGGCUUCAAAACUGCUAUCAAAACACUGAAAUUCAGUUACUGUUUCCAAUAUGAAUAUUCAGAAACACAGCAGCACCACUUUGAACCACUCUUUUUCUUGGGUUCCAAUUGUUUCUAGGGGCAAGUUUCUCAGUAAAGUUUAUACUCCUAUAGUUCCUCUACAAGUUUUAUAUAGUGACCAUUAACCAAAGCCUCUUGGAUCCCAAACUACAAUAGCCCAAAGUUUGCUCCAAUUGCUGAAAUUCAGACUGAAUUUCACUGUCUGAAAUCCCCACUUUCAGACAACUCUACUUUAGGCCAGCUUUUCUCUAGGUUCCAAAUAGCUUUAGGGCUAAGUGUAUUAACAAAACUUAUACUCCUCAUGUAUCUCUAUAACUUUGUUAUAAUGAUCAUCUUCAAACAGUUUAUAGAUCCAAAGUUAUGAGGACCCAAAAACAGCUAGUUGAUAUUAUUUUCAGCAAACUUCAAAUCUGAUUCAAAACUGAAUUAAACUUUUUACUCCAACUUUUCCUCUAAAACUUGGAAUUCUCCAUACAUAAAAGUUGUUCAACUUACCAAAAUCUACAACUUUGAUAUAUGGACAACUAGCAAAUUCUCUCUAGAUUUAAAACUCCACUUUUGGGCUAGUUGAGGGUUUCAAAUGUGACUCCUUCUCAUCUAGUGAUUUAUCAACUCAAUCCAUACUCCUAAAAGCUAAGUGACUCCCCUUAAUCUCAAAUUCAACUCUAGUAUAUGAAGCUCAUGUCCAAAGUGUCCUUGGUUUAGGAGUUGUUUUGUUUAUCCACAAUUCCAAGCAAGGUUUUGAAAUCUCACUUAAGGUUUUUAAUGUUAAUCCAGUUCCUCAAUUAAUUCUUCCACUCAACCCACCUUUGAAAGCAAAGUUGCUCUAGGUCCUAAGUCUUACCUUUAAUACUUUAAAUUCCAAGCCAACUUAUUACUUGCUCAAGAGACGACUUCUCUUCCCAUGUCUUAAGCAAAGUUCUUAAUCUGAGCCCUAUACUCUAAUACACAACACCAUAUUCACUGAAAUUUUUUGACCAAGUGGAUGCAUUCUAGGUAUAUCAAACAAGAUAAUGCAGAUGCUUAUGAUGGCAUGUCAGAGUUUUAGUUAACGUAACACCAGGGGUGUUACAGUCUUCCCCCCUAAAAAGAAAUCUUGUCCCGAGAUUUAAAACUCUAGGCUAGGUAAUGGAAAAGAAAAUGUGUCACUGGCUUAUUUCCCAUUACUCCUAUAAGGCAAGGGUGUGUUUCUAUUGGUUUAUACCAGAAAUAAACUACACAAACCUUAGGUUUACAGGGCACUAGAAACUCAGGAACACGCUCUUCUAGAUACUCCUCCGAUUCCUAUGUGGUUUCAUCUUCCAUGGGUUGGUUCCACUGUAGUUUAUGAAACUUGAUAACUUUUCUUCAAGUGACUGAUCCUUUAAAUCCAAUCCUUUCAGGCAGUGGCCGUUUAGUCCAUGGUCCGUUGGAUGGUCAGUGCAAGGCCAGAAAUUGGAACACAUUGAUUCCGCUCGUUCCUGUCCUUCGCUUCAAGGCCUGUCCCUCGGUGUGGUCAGUACUCCAUACUGUCGGGCAGCAAAGCUUACACUUGUUCACUUAUUAUGAUGGUUCACCAGGGCCUCUUUCCUCCUCCCUUUUCUGCUCACUCGUAUGGGAUAUUCCAAGUAGGUUAAAUCUGGUCCAAGGUUAACAUCUGAAAUCUCAAUAACAUGCUUGGGGACUCGAAGACAUUUCUUUAACUGGGACACGUAGAACAUGUUGUGCACUGUUGACAAAUUCUUUGGCAACUGUACCUUAUAAACUACUAGUCCACCAAAUGAACUGAGUUCCAAGGCUUCACGAAUAGGAAAAGGUAGUAUAGAAAAGCAAAGAUAGAUAGCAUGAAUAGGAUGGAUGAAACAUGUACUAAGAUACUAUAUAGGGGGCUUAACUUAAAAUUGUAUGUCAUGAUGCGUGCUCGACCUAUUCGUCCUCACAAUUCUUGCCAACAUAUAGUGGCUUUCAUGCUCUAUGGCAGUGGCAUACCUACACUCCGUCAUUGAAUACAAGUCGCACUUUUCUAGGGUUUUAGUUAGUGUACCUGCAGAAAGUUGCAUUAUAGUUGUGGGUUAGUGGUUAGCAUCCUAAACUAAGCCACCUUAUAGUCCUUAACUUAACCAUAUACUAGUUGCACUUCGAGUAUCAGGAUUUGAUCAUAGAUUCUUAAGUUUUUCCAAAAUAGUUUGGACUCAAAAUCCUUUUGAAGCAUAUCAAAAGAUUACUUUAAUAUCCAUGCUAAUGGGGGAUCGCUCCGAUACCAAUCUGUGGCAGCCCUCCCAAGUUAUCAGGCCCAUAUGCACCAAUCCUUGCCUUGAUGGCCUCAGAUGGCUAUGCACGUGUACCAGGUAACUUAACAAGGCUAUCACGAGUUCAACCACUUGAACUCAUCAUCCCAAGGAUCCUCCACCAUACAUGCAUAUUACAGUAAUCACAUUCGAUACACACACUUCGAAGAUACGAGCGGAAGACUUUACAAACAUUCUUUACCUUUUCAAAACUCAAGUUUCACAUGUUUCGAAAGAGUAAUAUUUAUUACAAGUCCUGAUAUACUCAAAGUGCAUAAGUUAUUACAAAAGCAGGAAGGUAGAAACCCUCCAAAGCUCAUACAUAAACCUAGCUAGUCCUCCUCUAGAACUGGAAACGCCCUCCAGCCACAGGAACAACUAGAGUACUUCUCAUCACCUACAACAACAUGGGUUCGAAAACCCUGAGUACGGAGUGUACUUUUGCAAGUCUUACCCGACUAAGGAAAAAUGACUCCCAAGGAUAUGUUGGUUAAAUAGGAAUCAAGGAAAAGGCUUUAGCAAGAAUCAACUUAGAUACUUUUGCAGAAAUAGCUUACUAAAGUGAGUCCUUACUUUCAAUAUUUUAACACCAGAUUAAAUAUUAAUAAACUCUGGUUGUAUCUAGUCUAAUUUCACCAUCUCAUCAAUACAACAUCAUUUUUACUCAUAAUGUUUACAUCCUUAGGUUGUAGGUCGGAGAUCAAGUCUCCACUCUCCGGGGAUAUAACGGCGAUCCGAAUUGAUUUACUCAGCUGAGGAUCUCUAACCACACGACAUAUGUUUCUCGUAACUCUUGCUUAUGUCUAUCAUUCCCACGGAUCCUCCACUGCAUGAACAGGUCCGCGCUACCCGGGAGCACACCACCCUUUUUAGGCGGUCCUUUGCUAGGAGGGUACGUGCCACUCUCGCCAUCUCUCCACUCCUAGUGCGCGAUUGUCUUUUCAUGUAUGGAAUAGCCGGGUUCAAGCUUACCCUGUCCCAUAUCCAGGGCAUGUGGCCAGUUAAGAUAGUCCUUGAUCAUACAGGCCUACAUACGCAUCCGAUCCUUAAUUAACAUUGGUAGAACAUCACCUGUUCCUAGCCCAAGUCCCGAUUUAAGUACUUCAACCUUAGGAUUGUUUGUGUUCCUUAGGAUGAAAAGAGCAUUAUAGGGAACUUUGCAGUAAGAUCCCACCAUGCUCCCAAUGAAAAUAUUCUUGCAAGUAGAAGUCGUCCUUCCUCAGGAUAACCCCUGAGCUAGGCAUUAAUGCAAAAGACAACCUCUAUCCACAAGAUCUAAGCAGGGCUAAGCAUUUUUUGUAAAUCAUAUUUUGAUACUUCAUCAGAAGUAUCUAUAAAGGUAUGGAUAUCAAGGUAGGCAAUGCAUCCAAUAGUUUCCAAGCAACUCCUAUAAACUUAAUGUACAUUUCACUAGACUUAAAGUGUAUAAAAAUCUUUUAAAAACACAAGGAAGGGGUUGCAUGCACCGGGGCUUGUCUUAUUGCAGGAGAAGAUCCAAAGUCCUUCUAUCACAAUAACCAGUUAGAUGGAACCAACCACUGGAUCUACAGCACUGGAGCAGACUCCUCUUCAGGAACCACUUCUUGAAUUUCAACUUACUUUUAUGGGAGCUCUACAUGAAAUGAUAUGAAUAUGAAUGCUUAUGCUUUUGUAAUUUGCAACGAAGAUAGCAAAACAACUCUCUAGACUAUACCAAAAUCUAUGGUCUUUUAUGUAAACUUGUUUCUUCACCAACUAAUUCCUUUCAUCCACUAACCGCACCACUACGAUUCACACGCACAUCACAAAGCCCAAGUUGAUGGUGUGAACCACAAGCCUAUAAACAGUCGCGAACAAUCUUUCCUGGGACAUAAAACUAUGCUACCGAUUAAUCCAAACACACACGCAACCAUGCCAGUAGAGAUCAAACAACCAGUUUAAUGAGUUUCACCCGUAAGUAUAGAUACUAGAACACUACACAGAAACCGUGGAAUCGUACCAUGUUAUCCCAACUAUGGGAGGGCAGGAACAACCCCGGGCAUGGUCACCACAGCCAGUGGCAAGUAUGUUUCCAACAAAACCAAGGGUACUAGAUGGCAGAGAGGUGUUAGGGGGGUGACGUGGGUGUAGAUGAGUAGCAAGGCACAUAGGGGAAACCAGGAAAUCGUCGAGAGCACAAGCAAUUCAGUUUGGGCUCCAAACUAGCAUAACAAGAGGUGGCUUGAUGGAGGUCGAGCUGGGGCUAUUUCAGAGGGGAAAUGAGAAUUAACAAUCCCCAACACACACCUGCAUGUCUACCACGCAAGGUGGAAGCACAAGAAAAAAGUCCAGCACACCUUUACUGCAUGUAUGACACCUCAUGAACAGUGAAGCAGCUGAAUCAUCCAAGAGAUAGGCUUUACACCCUUCCUGCAUCUAUCCUUGGGGUGGUGAAUUUUUGACAAUAAACUUUCCUCUCUCAUAAGUCUCUUUUGGGCUAGCAUAUCCUAGAAUUCCCUAUAUCAAUUUGGUGGAUGGAGAUACUUUCAUCAGAUUAUUCUAAAGCUGCUCCUGUUGUUCUACUCGACUGAAACCUCAAGUUCAGCUCCCCUUUUUAUUACCUCAAAUAACCAGCAAAGAAACUUUAAUGCCCCCAACACACAAAUAUCACUUGGUCCAAAUCUGCAGGUAGUAGAUAUCUGCAGAUAGUAGACAAAACAGAUAUGAUCUCUUCUGUCCACAUCUCCCAAACAGUCCAGAACUAGAUAUUUUGCAGCAGAGCUGAAGUCACUAGAUCCUUGGUUUUGCACCCCACCCAUAUCCCAACUCGAGCACACCAGUGGAGCACAGGAAAGGGAGAAAAAUCUUCCUCAAUUUCCUAUCCCAAACACUGAAUCAACUUCCCUGACAUCAGUGUCCCAUUGCACAGCUCCCAGUUUGGUCUACUUUAUCUCACAAACUUCCUCAACAACGGCCCCUUCUUCCCUAAUAAAAAAUACUCUCCAAUCAUUGCUCUUCCACUUUGGUACAAUACCCCUAGGCUGAAACCACAUAGAACAAAAAUUAUGGGACACAAAAGUAGAGCAAAAACACUAAGAGGUUCAGUUUCGGCUGAAGUGAAAUAAUCCCCCAGACAGUCUGACAGAGGAAGUUUAGGUGCAUUUUACUCUAAAGUUUGUUAAGCACCAAGUCAGACCCACAUAACAAAACUUGUACUUCUUUACUUGGUCUCCAUCCUUGUUACAUAGUUCUUAGCCUAACACCUGGUGGAAUGGUCACGAAAGUGUUCCCAAACUGACACCAAACUGUGCAACUUCAGUUUUCAGGCACUGAUUGAAAUUCAGUUUCUGUAACUGACAGUCCCAGUUUUAAGCAACUAUUACUCCACUUUUCAUGCAGUACAAAGUCAACCUUAUUUAAGAAAACUUGUUCACUAUUGUAUGGUCUUCCAUUUUACUAUAGAAACCAUAGUCCAUAACCCCAUAGAUUAGCCACAAGAAAGCUCCGAAGUUGAGCAAAACUCACUGAAAUUCAGUUUUAGAUAACUGAAUCAAGUCUGAAAUUAAAAUCUGACAGCAUGUUUUGGAACGCCAUUUUCUCCCUGUUCUAAGCAUAUUCAAGGGCAUGAUCCUUACCAAGGGUUACUUCCCCAACAUUUAUCUCCAAGUUUGCUACAGAAACUAGAGCCUAAAAGCACAUGGAUUGAUCACAGAACAAACAUAGUACGAUCGUGUACCUUGCUGAGUUGUCUUGGCCACGGCGAGAUGGCCAAACUGACCGGCGUGGUCACUACUGGCAGGCCGAUGGUGUGCCAACACUUGUGCAGAGCAAACCUAGUGGCUAGGAAGAGACUAGCAUCAACUGGAGCACAAGGACUUCCACACUUUUACACUGGUCUUGGGCUAGAAUCAGAAGGCCAGGUUGAUGAGGACAUCACUAUGAGUACGACUACACCAGCAGCACCUCCACAUCAAGCGCCACUUCCUUCAUUAGUUGGGCCAAUCACUCGGGCCCGUGCCAGAGAUCUUAACUUCGUCAUGCUACUGAAGAAUGAGGGCCCAGAAGAAUAGACGACCAGCCCAACUGCGGCCCAUAGUGGACAACCUAGGGUUGGCCGCCCCUAGGGGCUGCGCCCCCUCUCUCUAUUUAUCCAGGAGCUGCGCCUCCUUUGUUCUUCGAGUUUUGUUUUACAUCUAGCUUUAGCUACCCCAGAACACGCACAAAUACGUGUUGUCCUCUGUGAUUCAGAACUCCACCUCGAGUGAUAUUAAGAUUGCUCGCAUCUUUUUCUUGUUCGUUCUUCGAUUGCGCACAGGAAACGAUCUUCGUGAUCAGGCCGAUCUCGCAUUAGCAAGGUCGGUAACCAUUGGGAGUUGGUUCAGCGAUUGCAUUGGCGCUUCGGGUUCGCUCGUCGUAGUCGGAUCGUGAGGGUCUACUUGCACCAAAUCGGAAUUAUCUCCACUCACCGAAAGAUCGGGCACUCCAGCUCUAUUAAGUGGUAUCAGAUUUCCAGGUUGAUCGGUGAGUUUAUCGAGUGUUUUUUUUCUCCUACAGUCCACAAAACCACAUAAAAAUUUAGGUUAGACCUUAUCCUAGCACCCUUUUGAGCCUCGCACUUUCUUUCAAUAAUCUGCAUUGUUGAAUUUGUGUGCUUUCAUGUCAUUUGUUACUGGUUGCAUUGUGUUAUUACACCAUUCAAACCCUAGCGCGCCGCCACCAUAUUCCGUUUGAUCACGCCACAAACCGAGUCAACGCCGCUUCCUUAUUUUUCUCCUUCGGUUACGUAAAAAACAGAAAAAAAACAAACCGAGUCAACACCGUUUCCUUGUUUUUCUACUUCGGUUACGUAAAAAAACAGAAACAAAAAAAAGAAAACGAAGGAGAAAGAAUACAAAGCGGUUGUCUCAUCUCGAUCGUUUUAAGCAUACCUUCCUUAAACCGGGCAUAACUUUUCGCUCGAUUGUUCAAAAAAUCUGAAUUUUUUACAGGAGCUUGUUGACACCAUUCUGAGGCCGGCCAAACUGGCCUAUGGCCUGUUUGGUUUCGAUAAAAUUGUCAAAAAAUUCAGGAAAAUAAAGAAAAAAAUUCAUCAAAGUUCUCGCACGCUUUUCAGAGAACUUCCUGAUUUUCUGUAGACCACAUCUGAACUCUGUUUUAGGUGAAACUUCGUGUAGCUCCUAUUUUGUUGCUCCUUAUGCUGAGAAAAAUAUCAAAAAAUCAUACAAAAAAAAAGAAAAACAAAAUCACUUGUGAUUCCUACUAGUGCCUUUUUGGCCUCGCUAGUACAAUAUUUACGGUACUGCCAUUCUGCUAGUUCCAUCCAUCCUUUGCACUUGUGGCCAGCAAUAUAGUUUCGUGUUUUGCACUAUAAUUCAACUUUGCAUUAUUGUUUGAUCGUGCUAAUCCUUGACUUGAGUGCAGCCUACCCAAAACUCCACAUAUUUCUACGACGAGAAGGUUUCUGUUUCUCCAGGCAAUCGCUCAUCCAAUCUUUCACCGGUUCCACCUGUUGGUUGCAGUUCACCACUGUGGCUUGGUAAGAACGGAUAAGAACUUGAUAACAGCAUUCCAUUGAGCGAGUUGUCACCACCAUUUUCCUGUUGUCGUCGGUUUUUCUCCUUUUGGUGUUUUGGUGUUUGUGCUAACUAUGGCAGGAGCACACGACACGGUGGAUGCCCAGUUGCUGGAAGUAAGGGGACAAGUUGAUGGACUUGCUGCUGACAUUAGGACGAUGCAUGAACGGCUUGAUUCAACGGUCAAUUCGACGACCGAGCGUUUCAACCAGCUUGACCUUGCUCAAACGGCGACUCGCACCACACUCGACACCAUCCUGGCACGCCUUGAUGCGUUGACCACAAAGAUGGAGCAGGACUACGGCGGUGAUACUGAGCAGGACGAUGGAGAUCGCCGUGGUCGUGCACGCCGUGUGGUUCGUCAUCCCCCUAAUGACUUAUUUUCUAAGAUUAAAUUUAAAAUUCCACCUUUUAAUGGCAAAUAUGAUCCUACUGCAUAUCUUGAUUGGGAGUUAGAGGUUGAACAAAAAUUUUCAUGCCAUGAUAUUGCUGCACAUUCUCAGGUUAAAGCUGCUAUUAGUGAAUUUAAUGAUUUUGCUUUAAUUUGGUGGCGUGAGUAUAAAAUGAAACAUCCCACUGCCAUUCCAACCACUUGGGAUCAGUUAAAAGCUGUGAUGAGACAUCGAUUUGUGCCUUCGUAUUAUGCUCGUGAUUUGCUUAAUAAAAUGCAGUGUUUUCAGCAAGGUUCUCAAUCUAUUGAGGACUAUUUCCAGGAGUUACAAAAAGGUAUGAUUCGUUGUGGGAUAUUGGAGGACAACGACGCUGCUAUGGCACGUUUUCGUGGUGGUUUAAACCGCGAAAUCCAGGAUAUACUUGAUUAUAAGGAAUAUUAUGAUAUGACUACUUUAUUUGAAUAUGCUUGUAAAACUGAACGUGAAGUGCAGGGACGCCGCUCGAAGCCAUAUUCUAACCCUUUUGCAGGACGAAGCUCGACAUCCACCUCAGCACCAGUUCCCUCUGCGCCAUCCACGUCCACCACUACUCCACGCGAUAAGAUGACCAAACCAGCCAGCAUUGCCCCACCCACAGGUCGUACACGGGAUAUUCAGUGUCAUCGCUGUAGAGGAUUUGGCCAUGUGAUUCGAGACUGCCCAAACAAGCGCACUUUGCUCAUUCGUGACGAUGGUGAGUACUCUUCCGCUAGUGAUUCUAAAGAAAUUGAACAUGCACUACCUGCCACUAACCAUGCAGCUCAGGCGGAGGUACAUGUCAACCCGGGCGACGCUGAUAGGUAUGAAAGUCUUGUUGUGCAGCGUGUUCUUAGUACACAGGUCGCUUUGCCCGAGAAGAAUCAGCGACACACUCUGUUCCAUACAAAGGGUGUUGUGGAGGAGCGGUCAAUUCGCAUCAUUAUCGACAGCGGCAGUUGCAACAAUUUGGCGAGUACCAUGUUGGUCGAAAAGUUGUCGUUACCCACUCGUAAGCAUCCAAACCCAUAUCACAUUCAAUGGCUUAAUGAUGGUGGUAAAAUAAAAAUCACGCGUUUCGUGCGUGUUCCUUUCUCCAUGGGUGCUUAUUCUGAUUUUGUUGAUUGUGAUGUUAUUCCCAUGGAAGCAUGCUCUUUGUUACUUGGUCGACCUUGGUAAUAUGAUACUGAUAGCUUGCAUCAUGGUCGUUCGAAUCAUUAUUCUUUCAUUUUUAAGGGUCAGAAAAUAAUUAUACAUCCAAUGACACCUGAACAAAUUGUUAAAGAUGAUCUUGCCCGAGCUACUAUAACUACUAAACAACUUGAUCCAUCACCCUCUGUUUCUUCUGAAAUCAAGUUGAAGGCUCCUAUUUUACUUGCUACACGUGCUGAUUUUGAUGAUCUACACUGAUGAGAACAUCACUAUGAGUACGACUACACCAGCAGCACCUCCACGUCAAGCGCCACUUCCUUCAUUAGCUGGGCCAAUCACUCGGGCCCGUGCCAAAGAUCUUAACUUCGUCAUGCUACUGAAGAAUGAGGGCCCAGGAGAAUAGACGACCAGCCCAACUGCGGCCCAUAGUGGAUGACCUAGGGUUGGCCGCCCCUAGGGGCUGCGCCCCCUCUCUCUAUUUAUAUAGGAGCUACGCCUCCUUUGUUCUUCGAGUUUUGUUUUACAUCUAGCUUUAGCUACCCCAGAACACGCACAAAUACGUGUUGUCCUCUGUGAUUCAGAACUCCACCUCGAGUGAUAUUAAGAUUGCUCGCAUCUUUUUCUUGUUCGUUCUUCGAUUGCGCAUAGGAAACGAUCUUCGUGAUCAGGCCGAUCUCGCAUCAGCAAGGUCGGUAACCAUUGGAAGUUGGUUCAGCGAUUGCAUUGGCGCUUCGGGAUUGCUCGUCGUAGUCGGAUCGUGAGGGUCUACUUCCACCAAAUCGGAAUUAUCUCCACUCACCGAAAGAUCGGGCACUCCAGCUCUAUCAAGUGGUAUCAAAUUUCCAGGUUGAUCGGUGAGUUUAUCGAGUGUUUUUUUCUCCUACAGUCCACAAAACCACAUAAAAAUUCAGGUUAGACCUUAUACCAGCACCCUUUUGAGCCUCGCACCUUCUUUCAAUAAUCUGCAUUGUUGAAUUUGUGUGCUUUCGCGUCAUUUGUUGCUGGUCGCAUUGUGUUUUUUCUCACCAUCCUUCUUUCUUCCUUGUUUUUCUCCUUCGGUUACAUCAAACCCUAGCGUGCCGCAACCAUCUUCCUUGUUUUUCUCCUUCGGUUACAUCAAACCCUAGCGUGCCGCAACCAUCUUCCUUGUUUCUCUCCUUCGGUUACAUCAAACCGAGUCAACGCCACAAACCGAGUCAACACCGCUUCCUUAUUUUUCUCCUUCGGUUACGUAAAAAAACAAAAAAAACAAACCGAGUCAACGCCGCUUCCUUGUUUUUCUCCUUCGGUUACGUCAAAAAACAGAAACAAAAAAAAAGAAAACGAAGGAGAAAGGAUACAAAGCGGUUGUCUCAUCUCGGUCGUUUUAAACAUACCUUCCUUAAACCGGGCAUAACUUUUCGCUCGGUUGUUCAAAAAAUCUGAAAUUUUUACAGGAGCUUGUUGACACCAUUCUGAGGCCGGCCAAAUGUUUGGGUUUCGACAAAAUUGUCAAAAAUAUUCAGGAAAAUAAAGAAAAAAUUCGUCAAAGUUCUCGCACGCUUUUCAGACAACUUCCUGAUUUUCUGUAGACCACAUCUGAACUCUGUUUUAGGUGAAAUUUUGUGUAGCUCCUCGUUUGUUCCUCAUUGUGCUGAGAAAAAUAUCAAAAAAUCAUACAAAAAAGAAAAACAAAAUCACUUGUGAUUCCUACUAGUGCCUUUUUGGCCUCGCUAGUACAAUAUUUACGGUACUGCCAUUCUGCUAGUUCCAUCCGUCCUUUGCACUUGUGGCCAGCAAUAUAGUUUCGUGUUUUGCACUGUAAUUCAACUUUGCAUUAUUGUUUGAUCGUUCUAAUCCUUGACUUGAGUGCAGCCUACCCAAAACUCCACAUAUUUCUACGACGAGAAGGUUUCUGUUUCUCCAGGCAAUCGCUCAUCCAAUCUUUCACCGGUUCCACCUGUUGGUUGCAGUUCACCACUGUGGCUUGGUAAGAACGGAUAAGAAUUUGAUAACAGCAUUUCAUUGAGCGAGUUGUCACCACCAUUUCUCUGUUGUCGUCGGUUUUUCUCCUUUUGGUGUUUUGGUGUUUGCGCUAACUAUGGCAGGAGCACACGACACGGUGGAUGCCCAGUUGCUGGAAGUAAGGGGACAAGUUGAUUGACUUGCUGCUGACAUUAGGAUGAUGCAUGAACGGCUUGAUUCAACGGUCACUUCGACGACCGAGCGUUUCAACCAGCUUGACCUUGCUCAAACGGCGACUCGCACCACACUCGACACCAUCCUGGCACGCCUUGAUGCGUUGACCACAAAGAUGGAGCAGGACUACGGCGGUGACACUGAGCAGGACGAUGGAGAUCGUCGUGGUCGUGCACGCCGUGUGGUUCGUCAUCCCUCUAAUGACUUAUUUUCUAAGAUUAAAUUUAAAAUUCCACCUUUUAAUGGCAAAUAUGAUCCUGCUGCAUAUCUUGAUUGGGAGUUAGAGGUUGAACAAAAAUUUUCAUGCCAUGAUAUUGCUGCACAUUCUCAGGUUAAAGCUGCUAUUAGUGAAUUUACUGAUUUUGCUUUAAUUUGGUGGCGUGAGUAUAAAAUGAAACAUUCCACUGCCAUUCCAACCACUUGGGAUCAGUUGAAAGCUGCGAUGCGACAUCGAUUUGUGCCUUCAUAUUAUGCUCGUGAUUUGCUUAAUAAAAUGCAGCGUUUUCAGCAAGGUUCUCAAUCUGUUGAGGACUAUUUCCAGGAGUUACAAAAAGGUAUGAUUCGUUGUGGGAUAUUGGAGGACAACGACGCUGCUAUGGCACGUUUUCGUGGUGGUUUAAACCACGAAAUCCAGGAUAUACUUAAUUAUAAGGAAUAUUAUGAUAUGACUACUUUAUUUGAAUAUGCUUGCAAAGCUGAACGUGAAGUGCAGGGACGCCGCUCGAAGACAUAUUCUAACCCUUUUGCAGGACGAAACUCGACAUCCACCUCAACACCAGUUCCCCCUGCGCCAUCCACGUCCACCACUACUCCACGCGAGAAGACGACCAAACCAGCCAGCACUGCCCCACCCACAGGUCGUACACGGGAUAUUCAGUUUUAUCGUUGUAGAGGAUUUGGCCAUGUGAUUCGAGACUGCCCAAACAAGCGCACUUUGCUCAUUCGUGACGAUGGUGAGUACUCUUCCGCUAGUGAUUCUGAAGAAAUUGAACAUGCACUACUUGUCACUAACCAUGCAGCUCAGGCGGAGGUACAUGUCAACCCAGGCGACGCUGAUAGGUAUGAAAGUCUUGUUGUGCAGCGUGUUCUUAGUACACAGGUCGCUUUGCCCGAAAAGAAUCAGCGACACACUCUGUUCCAUACAAAGGGUGUUGUGCAGGAGCGGUCAAUCCGCAUCAUUAUCGACAGCGGCAGUUGCAACAAUUUGGCGAGUACCAUGUUGAUCGAAAAGUUGUCGUUACAAACUCGUAAGCAUCCAAACCCAUAUCACAUUCAAUGGCUUAAUGAUGGUGGUAAAAUAAAAAUCACGCGUUCCGUGCGUGUUCCUUUCUCCAUGGGUGCUUAUUCUGAUUUUGCCCGAGAAGCAUGCUCUUUGUUACUUGGUCGACCUUGGCAAUAUGAUACUGAUAGCUUGCAUCAUGGUGGUUCGAAUCAUUAUUCUUUCAUUUUUAAGGGUCAGAAAAUAAUUAUACAUCCAAUGAAACCUGAACAAAUUGCUAAAGAUGAUCUUGCCCGAGCUGCUAUAACUGCUAAACAACUUGAUCCAUCACCCUCUGUUCCUUCUAAAAUCAAGUUGAAGGCUCCUGUUUUACUUGCUACACGUGCUGAUUUUGAUCAUCUACACGGUGCUCAUUUGCCAUGCUAUGCACUUGUAUGCUCUAGUGUCCUCAUUUCACUUGAUGAUGCACCAUCUUUGGCUAUUCCCCCUAUGGUUGCUAACCUUUUGCAGGAGUACGCUGAUGUCUUUCCCAAAGACUUACCACCGGGUCUCCCACCGCUUCGUGGCAUUGAGCACCAGAUCGACCUCAUCCCCGGCGCACAGCUUCCGAACCGCGCACCGUACCGUACAAAUCCGGAUGAGACGAAGGAGAUUCAGCGCCAGGUACAGGCGUUGCUUGACAAGGGAUACAUUCGUGAAUCUCUUAGCCCUUGCUCUGUUCCUGUGUUACUUGUUCCCAAGAAAGAUGGGUCAUGGCGUAUGUGUGUAGACUGUCGUGCUAUUAAUAACAUCACUAUUCGUUAUCGAUAUCCUAUACCACGCCUUGAUGAUAUGCUAGAUGAGCUUAGUGGUGCCAUUAUUUUCACUAAGAUUGAUUUGCGUAGUGGUUACCACUAGAUUAGAAUGAAACUGGGUGAUGAAUGGAAAACGACUUUUAAAACGAAAUUUGGUUUAUAUGAAUGGUUGGUUAUGCCGUUUGGAUUGACUAAUGCUCCCAGCACUUUUAUGCGAGUGAUGAAUGAAGUUCUGAGGCCCUUCAUAGGAUUGUUUGUGGUUGUUUAUUUUGAUGAUAUCCUUAUUUACAGCAAAUCUAAGAAAGAGCAUUUGGAACAUUUAAGUGCUGUUUUUGAUGCAUUGCGUGCUGCCCAGUUAUUUGCUAACAUGGAAAAAUGCAUCUUUUGCACACGACGUGUCUCGUUUCUUGGUUAUGUUGUUACUCCACAGGGCAUUGAGGUGGAUAGCAGCAAGAUUGCUGCCAUUCGGGAGUGGCCUACACCGACGACGGUCACACAAAUUCGGAGCUUUCUUGGACUUGCCGGAUUCUACUGCAGAUUUGUUCGUGAUUUUAGCUCCAUUGCAGCGCCUCUACAUGAGCUUACAAAGAAAGAUGUGUCGUUUGCUUGGAGUGAUUCGCAGGAGGAAGCGUUCAGCACUUUGAAAGAUAAUUUAACCCAAGCUCCCCUAUUGCAAUUGCUUGAUUUUAAUAAAGUGUUUGAGCUUGAAUGCGAUGCUAGCUGUAUUGGGCUAGGUGCUGUUUUGUUACAAGAAGGAAAACUAGUUGCUUAUUUUAGUGAAAAAAUAAGCGGUGCUAGUCUGAAAUAUUCUACUUAUGAUAAGGAGGUUUACGCUUUAGUGCGCACUUUGCAUACAUGGCAGCACUAUCUUUGGCAUCGUGAGUUCAUAAUUCAUUCUGAUCAUGAGGCUUUAAAACAUAUUCGUACCCAAACAAAUCUGAACCGUCGUCAUGCUAAAUGGGUAGAAUUCAUUGAGUCUUUUCCUUACAUUAUUAAACACAAGAACGGAAAGGACAAUGUUAUUGCUGAUGCUUUGUCUCGUCGCUAUACCAUGUUGUCACAGUUAGAUUUUAAAAUCUUUGGUUUGCACACUGUGAAAGAUCAAUAUGUUGACGAUGCUGAUUUUAAAGAUGCUUUCGGCCAUUGUAUUAAUGGGAAACCAUGGGGCAAAUUUCACAUGCAGGAUGGGUUCCUGUUUCGCGCUAACAAGCUGUGUGUUCCAGCUAGCUCGGUUCGUCUUUUGUUGUUACAGGAAGCACAUGGAGGCGGUCUCAUGGGGCACUUUGGCGUCUACAAGACACAUGAGGUGUUGGCUGCCCACUUCUUUUGGCCUCGGAUGCGCGCUGAUGUUGAGAGCCUUGUUGUACGCUGCACUACUUGUCAGAAAGCUAAGUCACGGUUGAACAACCAUGGUUUGUAUAUGCCUUUGCCUGUUCCUACUUCCCCUUGGAUUGAUAUUUCGAUGGAUUUUGUUUUGGGAUUGCCUAGAACUAAGAAGGGGAGGGAUAGCAUAUUUGUGGUUGUUGAUCGAUUCUCCAAAAUGGCUCAUUUCAUACCUUGUCAUAAGACUGAUGAUGCUAGCAAUGUUGUUGAAUUGUUUUUUAGAGAGAUUAUUCGUUUGCACGGUAUUCCCAAUACAAUAGUCUCGGAUCGUGAUGCUAAGUUUCUCAAUCAUUUUUGGAGAUCUCUGUGGAAUAAAUUGGGAACUAAAUUGUUGUUUAGCACCACUUGUCACCCUCAGACUGAUGGUCAAACUGAGGUAGUUAAUCGAACUUUGUCUACCAUGCUUAGGGCUGUUUUAGACAAAAAUUUGAAACGUUGAGAGGAUUGCUUGCAUCAUGUUGAGUUUGCUUAUAAUCAUGCAACACAUUCUUCUACAAAGAUGUGCCCUUUUCAAAUUGUUUAUGGUUACUUUCCUAGGGCGCCUAUUGCUUUGUUUUCGCUUGAUGCUGCGGACGCCCCACACAUAGAUGUUGUUGCACAUGUUGAACAAAUGAUUAACCUCCAUGAACAAACUCAACAAAACAUUGCUGCUACUAAUGCAAAAUAUCAGGUUGCUAGUAGUAAAGGAAGAAAACUUGUUACUUUUGAGCCAGGUGAUAUGGUUUGGAUGCACUUGAGAAAGGAUCGGUUUCCUACUUUGCAACGUUCUAAAUUAAUGCCUCGUGCUGCUGGUCCUUUUAAGGUGCUAACAAAGAUUAAUGAUAAUGCUUAUAUCCUUGACCUGCCUGCGGAAUUUGGUGUUUCCACUAGUUUUAUUGUUGCAGAUUUGAAACCAUAUAUGGCCGAGGAUGAGGAAUUGCCGUCGAGGACGACUUCACUUCAAGAAGGGGAGGAUGAUGAGGACAUCACUAUGAGUACGACUACACCAGCAGCACCUCCACGUCAAGCGUCACUUCCUUCAUUAGCUGGGCCAAUCACUCGGGCCCGUGCCAGCUUUAGCUACCCCAGAACACACACAAAUACGUGUUGUCCUCUGUGAUUCAGAACUCCACCUCGAGUGAUAUUAAGAUUGCUCGCAUCUUUUUCUUUUUCGUUCUUCGAUUGCGCACAGGAAACGAUCUUCGUGAUCAGGCCGAUCUCGCAUCAGCAAGGUCGGUAACCAUUGGAAGUUGGUUCAGCGAUUGCAUUGGCGCUUCGGGAUCGCUCGUCGUACUCGGAUCGUGAGGGUCUACUUCCACCAAAUCGGAAUUAUCUCCACUCACCGAAAGAUCGGGCACUCCAGCUCUAUCAUACACGGUGCUCAUUUGCCAUGCUAUGCACUUGUAUGCUCUAGUGUCCUCAUUUCACUUGAUGAUGCACCAUCUUUGGCUAUUCCCCCUAUGGUUGCUAACCUUUUGCAGGAGUACGCUGAUGUCUUUCCCAAAGACUUACCACCGGGUCUCCCACCGCUUCGUGGCAUUGAGCACCAGAUCGACCUCAUCCCCGGCGCACAGCUUCCAAACCGCGCACCGUACCGUACAAAUCCGGAUGAGACGAAGGAGAUUCAGCGCCAGGUACAGGCGUUGCUUGAUAAGGGAUACAUUCGUGAGUCUCUUAGCCCUUGCUCUGUUCCUGUGUUACUUGUUCCCAAGAAAGAUGGGCCAUGGCGUAUGUGUGUAGACUGUCGUGCUAUUAAUAACAUCACUAUUCGUUAUCGAUAUCAUAUACCACGCCUUGAUGAUAUGCUAGAUGAGCUUAGUGGUGCCAUUAUUUUCACUAAGAUUGAUUUGCGUAGUGGUUACCACCAGAUUAGAAUGAAACUGGGUGAUGAAUGGAAAACAGCUUUUAAAACGAAAUUUGGUUUAUAUGAAUGGUUGGUUAUGUCGUUUGGAUUGACUAAUACUCCCAGCACUUUUAUGCAAGUGAUGAAUGAAGUUCUGAGGCCCUUCAUAGGAUUGUUUGUGGUUGUUUAUUUUGAUGAUAUCCUUAUUUACAGCAAAUCUAAGAAAGAGCAUUUGGAACAUUUAAGUGUUGUUUUUGAUGCAUUGCGUGGUGCCCAGUUAUUUGCUAACAUGAAAAAAUGCAUCUUUUGCACACGACGUGUCUCGUUUCUUGGUUAUGUUGUUACUCCACAGGGCAUUGAGGUGGAUAGCAGCAAGAUUGCUGCCAUUCGGGAGUGGCCUACACCGACGACGGUCACACAAAUUCGGAACUUUCUUGGACUUGCCGGUUUCUACCGCAGAUUUGUUCAUGAUUUUAGCUCCAUUGCAGCGCCUCUACAUGAGCUCACAAAGAAAGAUGUGUCGUUUGAUUGGCGUGAUUCGCAGGAGGUAGCGUUCAGCACUUUGAAAGAUAAGUUAACCCAAGCUCCCUUAUUGCAAUUGCCUGAUUUUAAUAAAGUGUUUGAGCUUGAAUGCGAUGCUAGCGGUAUUGGGCUAGGUGCUAUUUUGUUACAAGAAGGAAAACCAGUUGCUUAUUUUAGUGAAAAAUUAAGCGGUGCUAGUCUGAAAUACUCUACUUAUGAUAAGGAGCUUUACGCUUUAGUGCGCACUUUGCAUACAUGGCAGCACUAUCUUUGGCAUCGUGAGUUCAUAAUUCAUUCUGAUCAUGAGGCUUUAAAACAUAUUCGUACCCAAACAAAUCUGAACCGUCGUCAUGCUAAAUGGGUAGAAUUCAUUGAGUCUUUUCCUUACAUUAUUAAACACAAGAACAGGAAGGACAAUGUUAUUGCUGAUGCUUUGUCUCGUCGCUAUACCAUGCUGUCACAGUUAGAUUUUAAAAUCUUUGGUUUGCACACUGUGAAAUAUCAAUAUGUUUACGAUGCUGAUUUUAAAGAUGCUUUUGGCCAUUGUAUUAAUGGGAAACCAUGGGGCAAAUUUCACAUAGAGGAUGGGUUCCUGUUUCGCGCUAACAAGCUGUGUGUUCCAGCUAGCUCAGUUCGUCUUUUGUUGUUACAGGAUGCGCAUGGAGGCGGUCUCAUGGGGCACUUUGGCGUCUACAAGACACAUGAGGUGUUGGCUGCCCACUUCUUUUGGCCUCGGAUGCGCGCUGAUGUUGAGCGCCUUGUUGCACGCUGCACUACUUAUCAGAAAGCUAAGUCACGGUUGAACAACCAUGGUUUGUAUAUGCCUUUGCCUGUUCCUACUUCCCCUUGGAUUGAUAUUUCGAUGGAUUUUGUUUUGGGAUUGUCUAGAACUAAGAAGGGGAGGGAUAGCAUUUUUGUGGUUGUUGAUCGAUUCUCCAAAAUGGCUCAUUUCAUACCUUGUCAUAAGACUGAUGAUGCUAGCAAUGUUGCUGAAUUGUUUUUUAGAGAGAUUAUUCGUUUGCACAGUAUUCCCAAUACAAUAGUUUCGGAUCGUGAUGCUAAGUUUCUCAGUCAUUUUUGGAGAUCUCUGUGGAAUAAAUUGGGAACUAAAUUGCUGUUUAGCACCACUUGUCACCCUCAGACUGAUGGUCAAACUGAGAUAGUUAAUCGAACUUUGUCUACCAUGCUUAGGUCUGUUUUAGACAAAAAUUUGAAACGUUGGGAGGAUUGUUUGCCUCAUGUUGAGUUUGCUUAUAAUCAUGCAACACAUUCUUCUACAAAGAUGUGCCCUUUUCAAAUUGUUUAUGGUUACAUUCCUAGGGCGCCUAUUGCUUUGUUUUCGCUUGAUGCUGCGAACGCCCCACACAUAGAUGUUGUUGCACAUGUUGAACAAAUGAUUAACCUCCAUGAACAAACUCAACAAAACAUUGCUGCUACUAAUGCAAAAAAUCAGGUUGUUGGUAGUAAAGGAAGAAAACUUGUUACUUUUGAGCCAGGUGAUAUGGUUUGGUUGCACUUGAGAAAGGAUCGGUUUCAUACUUUGCGCCGUUCUAAAUUAAUGCCUCGUGUUGCUGGUCCUUUUAAGGUGCUAACAAAGAUUAAUGAUAAUGCUUAUAUCCUUGACCUGCCUACGGAAUUUGGUGUUUCCACUAGUUUUAAUGUUGCAGAUUUGAAACCAUAUAUGGCCGAGGAUGAGGAGUUGCCGUCGAGGACGACUUCACUUCAAGAAGGGGAGGAGGAUGAGGACAUCACUAUGAGUACGACUACAGCAGCAGCACCUCCACAUCAAGCGCCACUUCCUUCAUUAGCUGGGCCAAUCACUCGAGCCCGUGCCAGAGAUCUUAACUUCGUCAUGCUACUGAAGAAUGAGGGCCCAGAAGAAUAGACGACCAGCCCAACUGCGGUCCAUAGUGGACGACCUAGGGUUGGCCGCCCCUAGGGGCUGCGCCCCCUCUCUCUAUUUAUCCAGGAGUUGCGCCUCCUUUGUUCUUCGAGUUUUGUUUUACAUCUAGCUUUAGCUACCCCAGAACACGCACAAAUACGUGUUGUCCUCUGUGAUUCAGAACUCCACCUCGAGUGAUAUUAAGAUUGCUCGCAUCUUUUUCUUGUUCGUUUUUCGAUUAUGCACAGGAAACGAUCUUCGUGAUCAGGUCGAUCUCGCAUCAGCAAGGUCGGUAACCAUUGAGAGUUGGUUCAGCGAUUGCAUUGGCGCUUCGGGUUCGCUCGUCGUAGUCAGAUCGUGAGGGUCUACUUCCACCAAAUCGGAAUUAUCUCCACUCACCGAAAGAUCGGGCACUCCAGCUCUAUCACAGGUGAAUCCUUCACUGAACCAGAUUUCAGAGCCACCAUAUAUAUAGCAAACGUCCCUAGACAUGGCCAACAUGCAGUGAAGCAGUGUGUCCGAGAGCGCCAGCAACAUAUGGACUUCAACACGUGGCUAACAUGCUCUCAUACCCCACCAGUACACAACCUUGGUUAGGACACUGAACCUGGUCCAUUUUCUCAACACAAAUAUCAGUUGGGGAUAUGCUUUAAUAUGUCCAAGAACAGGAUAUUCUUUCCAGCUGAGGGUGGGUUCUAGACCUCAGUUAUACCCUCCACACUUAUCUCAACUAUACACAUACAUGUAUCUCUUUUGUCCCCUACUGCAGACAGCAGACCAACCAAUCAAUUCUCCACUAUUUACUGCUCCAAAAUAGUCCAAAUUAGAUAUUUUUGGUGGAGAGUAGCCUCAAAGUAUCAGUCAUGCACUUCCCCCAUAUGACAGCUUAAUAUGUCAGUGGAGCACAGCAAAGAAAAAGAUUCUUCUUUAGUUACACCUCCACACACUGAAUCACUUCAUCAACCUGCUGCCCCAUUUAAUUCCUCCCAGUUCAGACCCUCUGAUCUUUCAAUUUUUCAUAGCAACAGACCAUGCUCCCUUCACAAAAGUUGUUCUCUAUACAUAGUUCUACCAACUUGGUAUAGAAAUCACAGGUUGAAAAUAUUUAGAGCAAGAGUUAUUGCAAUCCAAAGUUAAGCAAAACACUCAAAAUUCAGUUUCGGAUUUAUUAAACAGCACAAUACUAGGUCUGACAGAGAGUUUUGUCACCCCUUUUUCUCUAGAUUACACACAGUAACAAGUCAAUCCUUUGCAUAAAAGUUGUUCCCCUUCAUAUGGACUUUGACUUUACUACAGAACUCGUAACCAAAAUCUCCAUAGAUUAAUUAUCAUAGAGAUCCAAACUGGGCAACUUGCUGCCAUUCAGGGUUCAGAACUGAAUUAAAAUUCAGUUAUUAACCAACCUGACAAUCCAAUCUUUGAGCAACUAUUUCUGCACUUUUUGUAUGGGAUCAGGUCCACCACCCUAUAAGAAAGUUGUUCGACUGGUCUUCACUUAUUCUACAAACACCACAGCACAAAACCUUAUAGAAUAGCCACAAAUAGGCUUCAAAACUGAUAUCAAAACACUGAAAUUCAGUUACUGUUUCCAAUCUGAAUAUUCAGAAACACAGCAGCACCACUUUGAACCACUCUUUUUCUUGGGUUCCAAUUGUUUCUAGGGGCAAGUUUCUUAAUAAAGUUUAUACUCCUAUAGUUCCUCUACAAGUUUUAUAUAAUGACCAAUAACAAAAGCCUCUUGGAUCCCAAACUACAAUAGCCCAAAGUUUGCUCCAAUUGCUGAAAUUCAGACUCUGUCUGAAAUCCCCACUUUCAGACAGCUCUACUUUAGGCCAGCUUUUAUCUAUGUUCCAAAUAGCUUUAGGGCUAAGUGUAUUAACAAAACUUAUACUCCUCAUGUAUCUCUAUAACUUUGUUAUAAUGAUCAUCUUCAAACAGUUUAUAGAUCAAAUGUUAUGAGGACCCAAAAACAACUAGUUGAUAUUAUUUUCAGCAAACUUCAAAUCUGAUUCAAAACUGAAUUAAACUUUUUACUCCAACUUUUCCUCUAAAACUUGGAAUUCUCCAUACAUAAAAGUUGUUCAACUUACCAAAAUCUACAACUUUGAUAUAUGGACAACUAGCAAAUUCUCUCUAGAUUUAAAACUCCACUUUUGGGCUAGUUGAGGGUUUCAAAUGUGACUCCUUCUCAUCUAGUGAUUUAUCAACUCAAUCCAUACUUCUAAAAGCCAAGUGACUCCCCUUAAUCUCAAAUCCAACUCUAGUAUAUGAAGCUCAUGUCCAAAGUGUCCUUGGUUUAGGAGUUGUUUUGUUUAUCCACAAUUCCAAGCAAGGUUUUGAAAUCUCACUUAAGGUUUUUAAUGUUAAUCCAGUUCCUCAAUUAAUUCUUCCACUCAACCCACCUUUGAAAGCAAAGUAUUACCUUUAAUACUUCAAAUUCCAAGCCAACUUAUUACUUGCUCAAGAGAUGACUUCUCUUCCCAUGUCUUAAGCAAAGUUCUUAAUCUGAGCCCUAUACUCUAAUAGGGCAACACCAUAUUCACUAAAAAAUUUUGACCUAGUGAAUGCAUUCUAGGUAUAUCAAACAAGAUAAUACAAAUGCUUAUGAUGACAUGUCAGAGUUUUAGUUAACGUAACACCAGGGGUGUUACAAAGAUCUACGUGGUUGGAAUAUUAAAUUAUGAAUUGAUUAUUGUACAUCCAAUGAGAAAAUAUACUCUAAAUAAUCAAUUCAACCUUAACCUAGAUUAUACUUGACUAGAGAUCAUGUUUUAACCACAUUAUGAUUAUGGUUGGGUUAGUUUUGAUUUAGCAGAGUUAAUCUAGUAGACAUAGGAUGAAUAAAUUUCUAACUAUAAAAUCAUGCAAUAUGAUAUAAUUAAUGUUGUUACUGCGUAGAUAAUAUUUUUAUGAAGCAAACGUAACUGGAACGGAUUAAAUCGGAGUUAAGACGCAGAAGAUAUGAUUUUUUCUAAGGUUUUCGGGUUUAUCUUAUAGUUAAAAAUCAAUUUCUUGAUUUAUUCCAAGAAUUACCAAUGUCUCUGGAUGGCGGGUACAAUUUUCUAGGAACGCAAGGGCCAAAGUGUUAAAAACAGGGCCUAAUUGCAAGGUUCUUAGAACUGCCUAGCACUGCGGGUUGUUUAGAGAAAAACUCGGGGGGUCUUUGGAGCAAAGAUGUCAGCCGAAGGGUAAUGAGCCAACUGGGGUCGCCCGAUGAAGGAUCAAGGGCCGAGAUUAUACAGCGAAUCGGUAUGCAACCGCGUCCGCCCGAUCCAUAUCUAACGAUCCAGAUCACUCUAGCCGAAGCGUUAGCCACCAUUUAAUCUGGGUCGCCAGCAGCCAGAUCAAUGGUCGGGAUCUAAACACCGAAGAGGUAUGCCCCGUUCUAAUCUCCACCGUUGACUCCCAGAUCUAUGGCCAGGAAUCAUCGCCUAAGCCUAGCCGUCGAUCUCCAUCCUAACGGACGUGACAUCGUCUUGUUCCUCCCAUCGCCCAGGUAUAGGGCUGCCCGCGCGCCACACACGCGUUCGUAUCCUCCCGACGAACCGCAUGGCUGCGCAAGCAAGGGAAUUAGUUACCCGCGGUACCGCGUGCGGCGCAGCUAAAACCUACGCCCCGAGGAAACACUGAUGAAUCACAGGGACGUUCUCUUACCGUUUUCGAGGCACCAGUGUAGUUGUCCACGGAGACUGGUGGCGCGCCGGAUCUCUUGACGUCGACAACGAGGCACCCGGUCUCCGACACAGUGACCCCGUGGGCGAGUCCUCGCGUAGUGCAAGGAUGCACCAUUGUCUGGCACUGCGUGAAGGUUGCGGACGAGCUCAAUUCUCACCCGCGAAUGGACCCACGUCCUUCUACCCUUGUUUCUCUCUCUUAAUGGCUGCAAUCCAAGCAGCGCACACCCGCCGCUUUUGCUCCAGGUCGACCGAGACGGCCAACAGUUAGGACCAUCCAAUUUAUGGGCAAGCAGAGC